UUAAGUUCAGCGGGUAGUCCUACCUGAUUUGAGGUCAAAAAUGUCAAGAGAUUGUCCUAAAAGGACGAUUAGAAGCUGGUCUGAAAGCCAAACCCAUGCACAGCGUAGAUAAUUAUCACACUGAUAGAGGGAAGCCAACCCGCUAAUAUAUUUCAGGAGAGCAGACCACACAAUUAAGGCAGACCUGCAAAACCCCCACA
This 200-nucleotide unclassified non-coding RNA is filed under the name Lacrymaria sp. (in: basidiomycete fungi). RNAcentral describes it as "Lacrymaria sp. (in: Fungi) partial internal transcribed spacer 2". The record is from RNAcentral. Lineage: Eukaryota; Fungi; Basidiomycota; Agaricomycetes; Agaricales; Psathyrellaceae.